RNAcentral lists this ribosomal RNA (492 nucleotides) under uncultured bacterium. RNAcentral describes it as "partial 16S ribosomal RNA". It matches the Rfam family "Bacterial small subunit ribosomal RNA", at positions 29 to 507 of the family's 1533-position model. The record is from RNAcentral.
AGUGAACGCUGGCGGUAUGCCUAACACAUGCAAGUCGAACGGAAGCACAGUAAGAGCUUGCUCUUACGGGUGGCGAGUGGCGGACGGGUGAGGAAUACAUCGGAAUCUACUUUUUCGUGGGGGAUAACGUAGGGAAACUUACGCUACUACCGCAUACGACCUACGGGUGAAAGCAGGGGAUAUUCGGACCUUGCGCGAUUCAAUGAGCCGAUGUCGGAUUAGCUAGUUGGCUGGGUAAAGGCCCACCAAGGCGACGAUCCGUAGCUGGUCUGAGAGGAUGAUCAGCCACACUGGAACUGAGACACGGUCCAGACUCCUACGGGAGGCAGCAGUGGGGAAUAUUGGACAAUGGGCGCAAGCCUGAUCCAGCCAUACCGCGUGAGUGAAGAAGGCCUUCGGGUUGUAAAGCCCUUUUGUUGGGAAAGAAAAGCAGCAGGUUAAUACCCCGCUGUUCUGACGGUACCCAAAGAAUAAGCACCGGCUAACUUCGUG